GGGCGGUGGCAUACCGACCUGAUCCGAGGUAACCUGGAAAAANAUUUGGGUUGAUCGGCAAGCGCCGGCCGGGCCUACAGAGCGGGUGACAAAGCCCCAUACGCUCGAGGACCGGACGCGGUGCCGCCGCUGCCUUUCGGGCCCGUCCCCCGGAAUCGGAGGACGGGGCCCAACACACAAGCCGUGCUUGAGGGCAGCAAUGACGCUCGGACAGGCAUGCCCCCCGGAAUACCAGGGGGCGCAAUGUGCGUUCAAAGACUCGAUGAUUCACUGAAUUUGCAAUUCACAUUACGUAUCGCAUUUCGCUGCGUUCUUCAUCGAUGCCGGAACCAAGAGAUCCGUUGUUGAAAGUUUUAAAUAAUUUAUAUUUUCACUCAGACUACAAUCUUCAGACAGAGUUCGAGGGUGUCUUCGGCGGGCGCGGGCCCGGGGGCGUAAGCCCCCCGGCGGCCAGUUAAGGCGGGCCCGCCGAAGCAACAAGGUAAAUAAACACGGGUGGGAGGUUGGACCCAGAGGGCCCUCACUCAUUAAUGAUCCUUCCGCAGGUUCACCUACCGAACU
This 561-nucleotide unclassified non-coding RNA is filed under the name Penicillium griseofulvum. RNAcentral's name for it is "sequence contains ITS1, 5.8S rRNA gene and ITS2". Lineage: Eukaryota; Fungi; Ascomycota; Eurotiomycetes; Eurotiales; Aspergillaceae. The record is from RNAcentral.